This 708-nucleotide ribosomal RNA is filed under the name uncultured bacterium. RNAcentral's name for it is "bacterial SSU rRNA". It matches the Rfam family "Bacterial small subunit ribosomal RNA", at positions 95 to 824 of the family's 1533-position model. The record is from RNAcentral.
GUGGCGAACGGGCGAGUAACGCGUGUCUAAUCUGCCCUGGAGCGGAUGACAACUAUGGAGACAUAGCUAAUCAUCCAUACGUCCCUAUGAAUGAAAAUAAUAGGGAGAAAGAUUUAUCGCUCUAGGAGGAGGAUGCGUCCUAUCAGCUAGUUGGUGAGGUAAUGGCUCACCAAGGCAAUGACGGGUAGCCGGUCUGAGAGGAUGUCCGGCCGCAAUGGAACUGAGAUACGGUCCAUACUCCUACGGGAGGCAGCAGUGGGGAAUAUUGCACAAUGGGCGAAAGCCUGAUGCAGCGAUUCCGCAUGGAGGAUGAAGCCUUAAGGGGUGUAAACUUCUUUUCUGGAGGAAGACGAAUGACGGUACUUCAGGAAUAAGGGACGGCUAACUACGUGCCAGCAGCCGCGGUAAUACGUAGGUCCCAAGCGUUAUCCGGAGUUACUGGGCGUAAAGAGUCUGUAGCCUGGUUUGUAAGUCUAUUUUCAAAGACCAUGACUCAAUCAUGGGAAGGGAGUAGAUACUGCAUGCCUAGAGUAUUUUAGAGGUUAGUGGAAUUUUCGGUGGAGCGGUGAAAUGCGUUGAUAUCGGAAGGAAUGCCAAAAGCGAAAGCAGCUAACUAUGAAAUUACUGACGGUCAGAGACGAAAGCUUGGGUAGCAAACGGGAUUAGAUACCCCGGUAGUCCAAGCCGUAAUUAUGCUUGCUAGAUGUU